RNAcentral lists this ribosomal RNA (381 nucleotides) under uncultured organism. Its description in RNAcentral is "partial 16S ribosomal RNA". It matches the Rfam family "Bacterial small subunit ribosomal RNA", at positions 527 to 896 of the family's 1533-position model. The record is from RNAcentral.
GUAGGUGGCAAGCGUUGUCCGGAAUUAUUGGGCGUAAAGCGCGCGCAGGCGGUUCUUUAAGUCUGAUGUGAAAGCCCACGGCUCAACCGUGGAGGGUCAUUGGAAACUGGAGAACUUGAGUACAGAAGAGGAAAGCGGAAUUCCACGUGUAGCGGUGAAAUGCGUAGAGAUGUGGAGGAACACCAGUGGCGAAGGCGGCUUUCUGGUCUGUAACUGACGCUGAGGCGCGAAAGCGUGGGGAGCAAACAGGGAUUAGAUACCCCUGGUAGUCCACGCCGUAGACGAUGAGUGCUAAGUGUUAGGGGGGGUUUUACCGGCCCCCCCUUAAGUGCUGCAGCUAACGCAUUAAGCACUCCGCCUGGGAGUACGGCCGCAAGGCUG